UACGUAGGGUGCGAGCGUUGUCCGGAAUUAUUGGGCGUAAAGGGCUCGUAGGCGGUUUGUCGCGUCGGGAGUGAAAACCCAGGGCUUAACCCUGGGCUGGCUUUCGAUACGGGCAGACUAGAGGUAUGCAGGGGAGAACGGAAUUCCUGGUGUAGCGGUGAAAUGCGCAGAUAUCAGGAGGAACACCGGUGGCGAAGGCGGUUCUCUGGCCCGGUUCUGACGCUGAGGCGCGAAAGCGUGGGGAGCAAACAGG
This 253-nucleotide ribosomal RNA is filed under the name uncultured bacterium. Its description in RNAcentral is "partial 16S ribosomal RNA". It matches the Rfam family "Bacterial small subunit ribosomal RNA", at positions 524 to 776 of the family's 1533-position model. The record is from RNAcentral.